UCUCUCAACCAAUAGAGUUUUCUAUUGGCUUGGAUCUGGGUGCUGCGAAACAAUCGCUCACCUUAAAGGAGUUAGCAACUAAGCGAUGUCGUCCGACGUAAUAAGUUUCGUCUGGUAAUUCGACUGAGCCAAUUGCUUCUAAUUGUCUUUUGACUUUUUUGA
RNAcentral lists this unclassified non-coding RNA (162 nucleotides) under uncultured Cryptococcus. RNAcentral describes it as "sequence contains ITS2". RNAcentral also lists the same sequence under 1 other name. Lineage: Eukaryota; Fungi; Basidiomycota; Tremellomycetes. The record is from RNAcentral.